RNAcentral lists this long non-coding RNA (220 nucleotides) under Mytilus galloprovincialis (Mediterranean mussel). The record is from RNAcentral. Lineage: Eukaryota; Metazoa; Mollusca; Bivalvia; Mytilida; Mytilidae.
GUGGUGACUAGAUAUAGAAUACAAACAAAUACAUUAGAAAAUCACAGCCCUGUUAGCCAUAGUCAAUGCAACGCCCAAAGUGACGUCACAUUUAAAUUUCUGAAACGUGUUUCGAAAAUUAAGAAAGAAUUUAGAUGAAAUUCAAGAUUAGAUUUGUAUGACUUAUCUAACUUAUAUUAAUAACAGUGAAAAUUAUAAUACUAAUUAAUAUUUAAUUGUA